RNAcentral lists this ribosomal RNA (232 nucleotides) under uncultured bacterium. Its description in RNAcentral is "partial 16S ribosomal RNA". It matches the Rfam family "Bacterial small subunit ribosomal RNA", at positions 118 to 347 of the family's 1533-position model. The record is from RNAcentral.
UGAGCAAUCUGCCCUUCUCAUCGGAAUAAGCGUUGGAAACGACGUCUAAUGCCGAAUACGACCUCCUUUCGCAUGAUCGGAGGUGGAAAGCUCCGGCGGAGAAAGAUGAGCUCGCGGCCUAUCAGCUAGUUGGUGUGGGUAACGGCCCACCAAGGCGACGACGGGUAGCCGGCCUGAGAGGGUGACCGGCCACACUGGGACUGAGACACGGCCCAGACUCCUACGGGAGNAG